UGGGGAAUAUUGGACAAUGGGCGAAAGCCUGAUCCAGCCAUACCGCGUGUGUGAAGAAGGCCUUUUGGUUGUAAAGCACUUUAAGUGGGGAGGAAAAGCUUAUGGUUAAUACCCAUAAGCCCUGACGUUACCCACAGAAUAAGCACCGGCUAACUCUGUGCCAGCAGCCGCGGUAAUACAGAGGGUGCAAGCGUUAAUCGGAAUUACUGGGCGUAAAGCGCGCGUAGGUGGUUAUUUAAGUCAGAUGUGAAAGCCCCGGGCUUAACCUGGGAACUGCAUCUGAUACUGGAUAACUAGAGUAGGUGAGAGGGGAGUAGAAUUCCAGGUGUAGCGGUGAAAUGCGUAGAGAUCUGGAGGAAUACCGAUGGCGAAGGCAGCUCCCUGGCAUCAUACUGACACUGAGGUGCGAAAGCGUGGGUAGCAAACAGGAUUAGAUACCCUGGUAGUCCACGCCGUAAACGAUGUCUACCAGUCGUUGGGUCUUUUAAAGACUUAGUGACGCAGUUAACGCAAUAAGUAGACCGCCUGGGGAGUACGGCCGCAAGGUU
This 548-nucleotide ribosomal RNA is filed under the name uncultured bacterium. RNAcentral describes it as "bacterial SSU rRNA". It matches the Rfam family "Bacterial small subunit ribosomal RNA", at positions 355 to 895 of the family's 1533-position model. The record is from RNAcentral.